ACUUAUAUAGUAUUGUAUACAUUUAAUUUCCAAUUAAAAACCCCAUUUAAUUAAUAAUGGUAUAAGUA
RNAcentral lists this transfer RNA (68 nucleotides) under Parapolybia indica. Its description in RNAcentral is "tRNA-Gly". Lineage: Eukaryota; Metazoa; Arthropoda; Insecta; Hymenoptera; Vespidae. The record is from RNAcentral.